RNAcentral lists this ribosomal RNA (508 nucleotides) under uncultured Mycobacterium sp. Its description in RNAcentral is "bacterial SSU rRNA". It matches the Rfam family "Bacterial small subunit ribosomal RNA", at positions 514 to 1019 of the family's 1533-position model. The record is from RNAcentral. Lineage: Bacteria; Bacillati; Actinomycetota; Actinomycetes; Mycobacteriales; Mycobacteriaceae.
GCCGCGGUAAUACGUAGGGUCCGAGCGUUGUCCGGAAUUACUGGGCGUAAAGAGCUCGUAGGUGGUUUGUCGCGUUGUUCGUGAAAACUCACAGCUUAACUGUGGGCGUGCGGGCGAUACGGGCAGACUUGAGUACUGCAGGGGAGACUGGAAUUCCUGGUGUAGCGGUGGAAUGCGCAGAUAUCAGGAGGAACACCGGUGGCGAAGGCGGGUCUCUGGGCAGUAACUGACGCUGAGGAGCGAAAGCGUGGGGAGCGAACAGGAUUAGAUACCCUGGUAGUCCACGCCGUAAACGGUGGGUACUAGGUGUGGGUUUCCUUCCUUGGGAUCCGUGCCGUASUAACGCAUUAAGUACCCCGCCUGGGGAGUACGGCMAAAAGGCUAAAACUCAAAGAAAUUGACGGGGGCCCGCACAAGCGGCGGAGCAUGUGGAUUAAUUCGAUGCAACGCGAAGAACCUUACCUGGGUUUGACAUGCACAGGACGACUGCAGAGAUGUGGUUUCCCUU